This 412-nucleotide ribosomal RNA is filed under the name uncultured bacterium. RNAcentral's name for it is "bacterial SSU rRNA". It matches the Rfam family "Bacterial small subunit ribosomal RNA", at positions 505 to 916 of the family's 1533-position model. The record is from RNAcentral.
GUGCCAGCAGCCGCGGUAAUACGUAGGGCGCAAGCGUUGUCCGGAAUUAUUGGGCGUAAAGAGCUCGUAGGCGGUCUGUUGCGUCCGCUGUGAAAACCCAGGGCUUAACCCUGGGCUUGCAGUGGAUACGGGCAGACUAGAGGUAGGUAGGGGAGAAUGGAAUUCCCGGUGUAGCGGUGAAAUUCGUAGAUAUUGGGAAGAACACCGGUGGCGAAGGCGGCCAUCUGGACCGUAUCUGACGCUGAGGCGCGAAAGCGUGGGGAGCAAACAGGAUUAGAUACCCUGGUAGUCCACGCCGUAAACGAUGUGUGCUAGACGUUGGGGAGCCUAGCUCUUCGGUGUCGCAGCUAACGCUUUAAGCACACCGCCUGGGGAGUACGGCCGCAAGGUUAAAACUCAAAGGAAUUGACGG